Molecule: unclassified non-coding RNA, 266 nt
Filed under: uncultured fungus
Lineage: Eukaryota; Fungi
Description: sequence contains ITS2
Rfam family: 5.8S ribosomal RNA (bases 1-52)
Source: RNAcentral
AACGCACAUUGCGCCCUUUGGUAUUCCGAAGGGCAUGCCUGUUCGAGCGUCAUUAUCACCCCUCAAGCCCUGUGCUUGGUGUUGGACGGCCUGGUCGGUGACACGACCCCUCCUAAAGACAAUGACGGCGGCCCGUGGAGCCCCCGGUACAAUGAGCUUCUUAACCGAGCACGUACCGGACGAGGGCGCCCCGGACCCGGUCUUCUCCCACUGGGAACUUUCUAAGUUUUGACCUCGGAUCAGGUAGGGAUACGCGCUGAACUUAA